GUCUGCAGCCAUGCCACCCAAGCCCAUCUGAUCUCGGAAGCUAAGCAGGGUCGGGCCUGGUUAGUACUUGGAUGGGAAAUCACCUAGGAAGACCAGGUGCAGUAGGCG
RNAcentral lists this ribosomal RNA (108 nucleotides) under Pteropus alecto (black flying fox). The record is from RNAcentral. Lineage: Eukaryota; Metazoa; Chordata; Mammalia; Chiroptera; Pteropodidae.